GAAAGCGUGGGUAGCAAACAGGAUUAGAUACCCUGGUAGUACCACGCCGUAAACGAUGUCUACUAGUCGUUGGGUCCCUUGAGGACUUAGUGACGCAGCUAACGCAAUAAGUAGACCGCCUGGGGAGUACGGCCGCAAGGUUAAAACUCAAAAUGAAUUGACGGGGGCCCGCACAAGCGGUGGAGCAUGUGGUUUAAUUCGAUGCAACGCGAAGAACCUUACCUGGUCUUGACAUACACAGAAUCUUGUAGAGAUACGAGAGUGCCUUCGGGAAUUGUGAUACAGGUGCUGCAUGGCUGUCGUCAGCUCGUGUCGUGAGAUGUUGGGUUAAGUCCCGCAACGAGC
Molecule: ribosomal RNA, 345 nt
Filed under: uncultured bacterium
Lineage: Bacteria
Description: bacterial SSU rRNA
Rfam family: Bacterial small subunit ribosomal RNA
Source: RNAcentral